GUCCGGGCACUUGGUGCUUGGGUGGCGCAGCUACGCAUAAAAUUAUCCGCCUGGGGAGUACGGUCGCAAGAUUAAAACUCAAAGGAAUUGACGGGGGCCUGCACAACCGGUGGAGCAUGUGGUUUAAUUCCAAGCACCGCGCAAAACCUUACCAGCGUUUGACAUGUCCGGACGAUUUCCAGAGAUGGAUCUCUUCCCUUCGGGGACUGGAACACAGGUGCUGCAUGGCUGUCGUCAGCUUGUGUCGUGAGAUGUUGGGUUAAGUCCCGCAACGAGCGCAACCCUCGCCUUUAGUUACCAUCAUUUAGUUGGGGACUAUAAAGGAACCGCCGGGGAUAAGCCGGAGGAAGGUGGGGAUGACGUCAAGUCCUCAUGGCCCUUACACG
RNAcentral lists this ribosomal RNA (386 nucleotides) under uncultured Sphingomonadaceae bacterium. RNAcentral describes it as "bacterial SSU rRNA". It matches the Rfam family "Bacterial small subunit ribosomal RNA", at positions 822 to 1208 of the family's 1533-position model. The record is from RNAcentral. Lineage: Bacteria; Pseudomonadati; Pseudomonadota; Alphaproteobacteria; Sphingomonadales; Sphingomonadaceae.